This is a long non-coding RNA of Setaria italica (foxtail millet), 4469 nucleotides long. RefSeq lists it as uncharacterized. The record is from RefSeq and is a predicted model, not a curated record. NCBI's taxonomy places the organism in Eukaryota, Viridiplantae, Streptophyta, Magnoliopsida, Poales, Poaceae. The transcript has 2 exons.
CAGCACUACCGAACAGGCCGAUUAUAGAAUUACAGCCUUUUAGGCCCAAGACAGGCACGGGUGAGAGAGAAUGAGGAGUGGAUAAGAAGAGAGCGUUCUGCUCUCUGUUCCUAGCCGGCCAUGGUCGAGCUCCUGGAGCUCAGCUCAGCGGCGCAGGAGCUAGUGGAUGAGAUAGGGACGUGGUGGAAUCGGUCGUCUGGAAGAUGGGGAGCUCGUCUGCGGUGGAAAUCGGUGUACGGGAGUAGCUGGUUGGUGGCAGCGGCCCCGCCGCCCCCUCGCGAUGCCAUUGCUGAGCUCAUCUCGGCACUCCACCGCCGCGCCCCGCGCGAUGCUAUCGGCCACGGCGCUGCUCUGAAGGCGAGGUAGGUGGCAGGGUAGUGAGUUGGGAUGGCAUUUUGGGGUGUGAUUUCGGUGGAUUUGAUGGGCAAUUUGGUAUUAGUGCUUGCAUGGAUGGGGUGGAGCUGCGGGGAGCCGGUAUUUUCAGCUCCGGCCGUCCAGUACAAAUUGGCAUGCGGCUUCGGAUGGGCUUUGCACGCGAAGCCGGUUUUGACUUGUGCGUUUGGUAGGGCUCCUAGAGAAGCUGGUGCCGGAGCCAUUCAUGAAGCCCUGCCAAAGGCACCCUCAGUAAGACAGCUUUAUAAUCUAACAUUUGAAUUCCACAUGGUGACAGACGAUUGGGCUCCUUUUGGUGGUGGGAUCUUCUGUUUAUUCUCAAUAAUUUUAGGAUGCUUGCUCCUUGCAAAGUGAAAAUGGCGCUACUGCAAGAUUCUGGCUUGAUCCGUGUAUUUUGGUGUUCUGAAAUGGUCUUUUAGACAACUGUUUUCUUUUGGGAAAAAAAAAGCUUUUGGCACAGCAAUUUCUAUUGCAAACCAAUGAUCAUCGGUUUUCUUGACCCCUAUCCAUUGAAGCUUCAGCUCAAAACUUACAAAUCUGUAGAGUAUUCUAGAAGCCUUCACUUUCUUUGAAGAUGACAAAGAUAUUUGGUCCUAUCUGUGGGGAAAUCAAAUCUUCUCCUCCAAACAAUCUUACAACAUGCUGGUGGGACCUUUCCAUGGUUGAUCCAGACUUUGCUUGGUUAUGAAAUCAUGUUGCCACAGAAAGCACUAGCUCUUCUUCUGGCUUCUCUUUGAAGUUAGAUUGAACAUGUUACUUGCUUCGGCUGAAAAAUGUCCUCUUGUAUGACUGCACUGUAUCUCCUGCACUUUAUCUCAAGAAGGGUCCAAAGUUCAUCUCUUCUUCCAAUGCUCUUUCAGCAGUACUGUUGGUGUUUUCCUGGUUUCAGUUGGGACCUGUCUAUAUCCCUUUUUGACAUAUUGGCUGAGGAUCGUUAACGCCUUGAAAAGCACUUCUUCAGAGAGGUUUUGAUCCUUACAUGCUGGUCAAUCUUUUUAAUGAAUGAUAUUACUUUCAACAAUGGGUCCUCGUCCCUUCCAAUAUUGGAAGAAGGGAUUGAAGAAUUAGUGUUGCUUAUGCACACUGGGCUAGAACAAUUGUAAAAGUCAAACACCGAUAUUGGCAAGAGUCACAUUUCUAAUGCUUAGUGUUAACAGAGGUCAACCAAUGUACAUGUAUUUUUUUCCUUAAUAGCAGAUAAACACAGCUGGGGGCUCCCCUCAUGUUUAUGUUAGAAAAAGAAUAAGCAGAGGGGUUUUCCAAUUCUUUAAUCUCUGUGGCAUGUUAGAAAGUAUAAGAAAAGAAACUGACAAUGGAAGCUGAUUAUCACGUCUCUAUUUUUAUAUUAUUUUGGUAAAUUGUCAUGAUUCCAUUAUGGUUGAUGAUUGCAAAAUAUGGAUUGAUGAGAUAGAAAAACUGACUGACUAUGGAAAAGAGGGAAGGAAUUAUAGAGCAAGGGUCCACAAAUUGGCAUGUCCAACAAGUCCAUGCCACGCCAACGCAGGUUCAUAGGUAAAAUAUCUACUCCUACAUUGUGAGAUUCAUACUAUCAGAAGAAGGUUGCAUGCUCACUCAUCGAGCCAGAACUGCCAGGCCAGAUCGAGUUCCAUUAGUCCUACAGAGCAACAGCCCUUGCAGGUAAUGGUAACUAGCAACUAGUCUGGUCGCUUUAUCAGGAAUGCUUUUUCUGGUGACCGUUGAGAGAUGUUUUCUUGCUAUAGGUUUCUCUUUUCUUUUUGUGAAUGAAUCUACAUGAUUACUUCUACCACCAGUGAGUUCAUGCUGCGAGUGUUAGGAGAAUAUUUCCUCUCAUUUAUCUUGAUUCCAUCAAUGUAUUAAAAUUUUAAAAUAAACUGAUUGCCAAUAGAUGUGUAUAUGGGCUUUACUUCUUUAUUGCUAUAAACUUUGGUCACUCUUUUAGGUUAUCCAUUAGCAGAAUGUCGAAUACACCUGUUUGAAAUUCAUUCCACAAGCCCCAUUUAUAUUCAACUAUUACUCUCUGCUUAUGAAUCAGUAAGGGUUUGUUGGCUACUACUCCUACCACCACACACACACACAAAAGGAAAUUAAAAAAAUCCUCCAGUCAAUCUAGUGACACUACCUCCCUCAGCCAAAGUUGGGUUUACAGCAAGAGGCUGCUGAUCCUUCUUUAAAUCUUAAGAAUAGCAUCAGCUAACCAGCUUAUACACUUUGACCUUUGUCUCGAGUUCUAAGAAUGUUGCAUUCUCUUUUCUUCGUGGUUCGUCUAUUCAAAUAGCCUUUAUGUGUUUCCCUAUCAUGCUCUGUAUAGACAUCAUUUGGAGUUUUAGGUUCUGCAGAGCCUUCAGUCUCCAAUGAACAGUUCAUGAAAGUACAAAAUUGAUAACUUAUUCUUGGCAAAGUCGUUGACAAGCACAUCUGGAGGCUAUCUCCUUCAGGUGAAUACACAGCAAGAUCGGCCUAUGAUGCUUUAUUCCAGGGAGCAAUUCUCUUUAAUCCAUAUGAACGCAUUUGGAAAUCUUGGGCCCCUCCCAAGUGUCGUUUCUUCAUGUGGUUAGUAGCUCAUAGGCGCUGCUGGACUGUGGACCGGCUGGCCAAACGUGGUCUCCCCCACCCAGAACAUUGCCCCCUUUGUGAUCAAAAAGAGGAGGAUAUCCAGCAUCUCCUGGUUGGUCGUGUGUUUGCUAGGCAGUUCUGGUUCCAGUUCCUGCAACACGUUGGUCUAGCUGCCCUGGCCCCUCAACCUACUGAUAUCUCUUUUGAGGACUGGUGGGAGAAGGUUGAGCUGUUGGUUAAUGGGGAUAUGAGGUAGGUCUUAACUCCCUUAUCAUCCUGGGGGGUUGGACCAUUUGGAGGCACCACAAUGAUUGUGUAUUCAAUGGCGCUUCUCCUAGUAUCGCUACAACACUGAUUUUGGCAAGGGAUGAAGCCCAGUUGUGGAGCAUGGCAGGAACUAAGGGCCUCUCUCUGCUCACUGCCAGGGGAGUGGGUUAAUCCCAGGUUUUUUUUUUGGUCAGGUCCUUCCUUUGCCUUUCAGGCAAUCAGGAUUUUUGGUCUGUGAGAGUGUAGGGGUGUGUGUGGGGUGUGUUGGUGUGUGUGUGUCUGUUUUGUGGGUGUUUGUGUGAGUCUAUGUAUGACUCUUCUUCUACUAUUAAUACAAUGAUACGAAGUUCUCCUGCAUGUUCGAGAAAAAUACAGUCCUAUCAAAAAAAUCUGGCGUCACUCAGAGUGCUGUGCCAAAAAUUAAAGUGCCACUACCAUUAGGGAAUAUAAUAACAUAAUACAAUCCAAUCUCUACAGAACUGGCAAACUUGUUACAAAUUGCAGAUGGUUUAUGAGCUUGUAGCCAAUUUCUUCACCAUAUUCUUGCCAUUCUCUGUAGGACAAGGAACAGCAAUUUGGGGAUACUCAGCCUGUCAUUUGCUUUGCCAUCAAAAUAGCCUAUGUAAUUUUGAUGCCGUUGCUACUAUAUGUUCCUUGCACACUAGAAUUCGAUCUCUUUACGUAAGCUUGAUAGUGACCUUAAAUGCAAGAGCCACAUCGUGAUCUCAACAAUUUACCUUCAUAUUGUUUCCCAAAAUUGCAGAAUAAAAAUUAAUUCAUAUAUUCAUUUGAACGGUUACUUUGAUGCUUUAUUGCAUUGCAGGUAUAAGAUUUUAAUGGAUCUCCCUCUGGACUCUUGAGCAAUGAAUUUCGACGUACUGGUUAAUCUUUUCGUUUGCUGUUUCACCACAUAUCUGGGAUUUCAUGCCACGUUUCUUACAAAUUUAUUUGUGUAUAUGGAUUCUGAUUUGGACAAGGUAACCUCAAGUUCAUUUAGGACCAGUACUUUGUAUGCCAGGAGCAGACAUGACACGAUGGUCUGCAAAUUCAGAAUCGUCAAGCAUUUUGAUUUGCUUGUUCUAAUAAAUAAAGAGCUUUCGUUUAGUAUGCAGAGCUGCUUCUGUAACCAUGCAUUCAUGAUUUUGACUUGUAAAGAAUUCUGCUCCGGGCGGAAUUUAUACUGUAAUGAAAAUUACUUGAGACUUCCAGAAAUGUUGGGAGGUUCACAUUCUCCUAUAGUUCUUUGCUCAAAACAACCAGAUGUGCUCAUGCAA